This 253-nucleotide ribosomal RNA is filed under the name uncultured bacterium. RNAcentral describes it as "partial 16S ribosomal RNA". It matches the Rfam family "Bacterial small subunit ribosomal RNA", at positions 524 to 776 of the family's 1533-position model. The record is from RNAcentral.
UACGUAGGGCGCAAGCGUUGUCCGGAAUUAUUGGGCGUAAAGCGCGCGCAGGCGGUCCUUUAAGUCUGAUGUGAAAGCCCACGGCUCAACCGUGGAGGGUCAUUGGAAACUGGGGGACUUGAGUACAGAAGAGAAGAGUGGAAUUCCACGUGUAGCGGUGAAAUGCGUAGAGAUGUGGAGGAACACCAGUGGCGAAGGCGACUCUUUGGUCUGUAACUGACGCUGAGGCGCGAAAGCGUGGGGAGCAAACAGG